UGAGAGGGUGAACGGCCACAUUGGGACUGAGACACGGCCCAGACUCCUACGGGAGGCAGCAGUGGGGAAUAUUGCACAAUCGGGGAAACCCUGAUGGAGUGACGCCGCGUGAGCGUUGAAGUUUUUCGGUAUGUAAAGCUCUAUCAGCAGGGAAGAAAAUGACGGUACCUGACUAAGAAGCACCGGCUAAAUACGUGCCAGCAGCCGCGGUA
Molecule: ribosomal RNA, 212 nt
Filed under: uncultured Lachnospiraceae bacterium
Lineage: Bacteria; Bacillati; Bacillota; Clostridia; Lachnospirales; Lachnospiraceae
Description: partial 16S ribosomal RNA
Rfam family: Bacterial small subunit ribosomal RNA
Source: RNAcentral